This is a long non-coding RNA of Helianthus annuus (common sunflower), 593 nucleotides long. RefSeq lists it as uncharacterized. The record is from RefSeq and is a predicted model, not a curated record. NCBI's taxonomy places the organism in Eukaryota, Viridiplantae, Streptophyta, Magnoliopsida, Asterales, Asteraceae. The transcript has 3 exons.
AAAAGUGACUUUGUCCCAGCCACCACCACAGAAUUGAUCCCCACCACCACCGAAUCCGGCCACCAGACCCCCGAACCACUACUACAAAUUCUAUUUGUUUGCGCGUUUGAGAUUUAAAACUGCAAUGGCUCUUUAGCCCUCUUUCAUUCUCACAAAUCUUACAGAGCCUCCUCCUUCUUGAGUUUUUUUUUUUUUUUUUUUCUUCAGGCCCGUCGGCGACAACCCUCUUCCUCCGGUUCUAAUCUUUUAACCCCAUUUUCGAUCUUCUUUCUUCAUCCACAUUUUUAGUGGAACCAUGUCCAACACUGAUCCGCAUUCACCCUCGUAUUCAACUGGAACCACACCAACGGUUCCAAAAUUCCGGGUCGGGCUGACCUUUUGGCUAGCCAUGGUUCACCCUGGAAGAAGGGUCGGUUGCUUGGUGGUGGCACGUAUGGACGUGUUUUUCUUGGUUUCAACAGUGAAAGUGGAGAAAUGUGUGCGAUCAAGGAGAUGACUUUAAUCUAAGAUGAUGCAAAGUCUAAUUAAUGUGCCCAAGAGCUAGGGUAGGUAAGUCUUUUCACUACACCAUUUAUAUUUAUAAGGUUUUUUUU